RNAcentral lists this ribosomal RNA (484 nucleotides) under uncultured bacterium. RNAcentral's name for it is "partial 16S ribosomal RNA". It matches the Rfam family "Bacterial small subunit ribosomal RNA", at positions 30 to 507 of the family's 1533-position model. The record is from RNAcentral.
AUUGAACGCUGGCGGCAGGCCUAACACAUGCAAGUCGAGCGGAAGAAGGGAGCUUGCUCCUGGAUUCAGCGGCGGACGGGUGAGUAAUGCCUAGGAAUCUGCGUGGUUGUUUUGGCUAACGUCCGGACACGGGCGCUAAUACCGCAUUCGUCCAUAGGGCGUAAGUGUGGGAUCUUCGGACCUCACGCUCUCACGUGAGCCGAUGUCGGAUUAGCUAGUUGGUGGGGUAAAGGCCUACCAAGGCGACGAUCCGUAACUGGUCUGAGAGGAUGAUCAGCCACACUGGAACUGAGACACGGUCCAGACUCCUACGGGAGGCAGCAGUGGGGAAUAUUGGACAAUGGGCGCAAGCCUGAUCCAGCCAUGCCGCGUGUGUGAAGAAGGCCUUCGGAUUGUAAAGCCCUUUUAGUUGGGAGGAAGAGCAGUAAGUUAAUACCUCGCUGUUUUGACGUUACCCAAAGAAUAAGCACCGGCUAACUUCGUG